RNAcentral lists this unclassified non-coding RNA (20 nucleotides) under Chlamydomonas reinhardtii. RNAcentral's name for it is "small RNA Cre_1602". Lineage: Eukaryota; Viridiplantae; Chlorophyta; Chlorophyceae; Chlamydomonadales; Chlamydomonadaceae. The record is from RNAcentral.
GAGGACGAGGACACGCUCGC